This 373-nucleotide ribosomal RNA is filed under the name uncultured bacterium. RNAcentral describes it as "bacterial SSU rRNA". It matches the Rfam family "Bacterial small subunit ribosomal RNA", at positions 796 to 1165 of the family's 1533-position model. The record is from RNAcentral.
CACGCUGUAAACGGUGGGUACUAGGUGUGGGGUCCAUUCCACGGGUUCCGUGCCGUAGCUAACGCUUUAAGUACCCCGCCUGGGGAGUACGGCCGCAAGGCUAAAACUCAAAGGAAUUGACGGGGCCCCGCACAAGCGGCGGAGCAUGCGGAUUAAUUCGAUGCAACGCGUAGAACCUUACCUGGGUUUGACAUGGAUCGGGAGUGCUCAGAGAUGGGUGUGCCUCUUUUGGGGUCGGUUCACAGGUGGUGCAUGGCUGUCGUCAGCUCGUGUCGUGAGAUGUUGGGUUAAGUCCCGCAACGAGCGCAACCCUUGUUCACUGUUGCCAGCACGUUAUGGUGGGGACUCAGUGGAGACCGCCGGGGUCAACUCG